ACUCCUACGGGAGGCAGCAGUAGGGAAUCUUCCACAAUGGACGCAAGUCUGAUGGAGCAACGCCGCGUGAGUGAAGAAGGUCUUCGGAUCGUAAAGCUCUGUUGUUGGUGAAGAAGGAUAGAGGCAGUAACUGGUCUUUAUUUGACGGUAAUCAACCAGAAAGUCACGGCUAACUACGUGCCAGCAGCCGCGGUAAUACGUAGGUGGCAAGCGUUGUCCGGAUUUAUUGGGCGUAAAGCGAGCGCAGGCGGAAUGAUAAGUCUGAUGUGAAAGCCCACGGCUCAACCGUGGAACUGCAUCGGAAACUGUCAUUCUUGGGUGCAGAAGAGGAGAGUGGAACUCCAUGUGUAGCGGUGGAAUGCGUAGAUAUAUGGAAGAACACCAGUGGCGAAGGCGGCUCUCUGGUCUGCAACUGACGUUGAGGCUCGAAAGCAUGGGUAGCGAACAGGAUUAGAUACCCUGGUAGGAUAGCG
RNAcentral lists this ribosomal RNA (473 nucleotides) under uncultured bacterium. RNAcentral describes it as "bacterial SSU rRNA". It matches the Rfam family "Bacterial small subunit ribosomal RNA", at positions 335 to 801 of the family's 1533-position model. The record is from RNAcentral.